This 457-nucleotide ribosomal RNA is filed under the name uncultured bacterium. RNAcentral describes it as "bacterial SSU rRNA". It matches the Rfam family "Bacterial small subunit ribosomal RNA", at positions 29 to 533 of the family's 1533-position model. The record is from RNAcentral.
AACGAACGCUGGCGGCAGGCUUAACACAUGCAAGUCGAACGCAUCGCAAGAUGAGUGGCAGACGGGUGAGUAACACGUGGGAACAUACCCUUUGGUGCGGAACAACAGCUGGAAACGGCUGCUAAUACCGCAUGCGCCCUACGGGGAAGGAUUAUCGCCGAAGGAUUGGCCCGCGUCUGAUUAGCUAGUUGGUGAGGUAAUGGCUCACCAAGGCGACGAUCAGUAGCUGGUCUGAGAGGAUGAUCAGCCACACUGGGACUGAGACACGGCCCAGACUCCUACGGGAGGCAGCAGUGGGGAAUAUUGGACAAUGGGCGCAAGCCUGAUCCAGCCAUGCCGCGUGAGUGAUGAAGGCCCUAGGGUUGUAAAGCUCUUUCAGCGAGGAGGAUAAUGACGUUACUCGCAGAAGAAGCCCCGGCUAACUUCGUGCCAGCAGCCCGCGGUAAUUACUGACUCA